This 961-nucleotide ribosomal RNA is filed under the name Christiangramia sp. RNAcentral's name for it is "bacterial SSU rRNA". It matches the Rfam family "Bacterial small subunit ribosomal RNA", at positions 56 to 1006 of the family's 1533-position model. The record is from RNAcentral. Lineage: Bacteria; Pseudomonadati; Bacteroidota; Flavobacteriia; Flavobacteriales; Flavobacteriaceae.
UGCCAGUCGAACGGUAACAGGGAAGAGCUUGCUCUUUCGCUGACGAGUGGCGCACGGGUGCGUAACGCGUAUACAACCUACCUUCAAGCGGGGGAUAGCCCAUGGAAACGUGGAUUAAUACCCCAUGGUAUAUAGACUUCACCUGGAGACUAUAUUAAACAUUUAUGGCUUGAAGAUGGGUAUGCGUCCUAUUAGCUAGAUGGAGUGGUAACGGCACCCCAUGGCAACGAUAGGUAGGGGUCCUGAGAGGGAGAUCCCCCACACUGGUACUGAGACACGGACCAGACUCCUACGGGAGGCAGCAGUGAGGAAUAUUGGACAAUGGAGGCAACUCUGAUCCAGCCAUGCCGCGUGCAGGAAGACUGCCCUAUGGGUUGUAAACUGCUUUUAUACAGGAAGAAACCUCCCCACGUGUGGGGAGCUGACGGUACUGUAUGAAUAAGGAUCGGCUAACUCCGUGCCAGCAGCCGCGGUAAUACGGAGGAUCCAAGCGUUAUCCGGAAUCAUUGGGUUUAAAGGGUCCGUAGGCGGGUCUAUAAGUCAGUGGUGAAAGUCUGUCGCUCAACGAUAGAAUUGCCAUUGAUACUGUAGAUCUUGAAUUAUUAUGAAGUGGUUGGAAUGAGUAGUGUAGCGGUGAAAUGCAUAGAUAUUACUCAGAACACCUAUUGCGAAGGCAGAUCACUAAUACUAUAUUGACGCUGAUGGACGAAAGCGUAGGUAGCGAACAGGAUUAGAUACCCUGGUAGUCUACGCCGUAAACGAUGGUCACUAGCUGUCCGGCCUAAUUGAGGGCUGGGUGGCCAAGCGAAAGUGAUAAGUGACCCACCUGGGGAGUACGUUCGCAAGAAUGAAACUCAAAGGAAUUGACGGGGGCCCGCACAAGCGGUGGAGCAUGUGGUUUAAUUCGAUGAUACGCGAGGAACCUUACCAGGGCUUAAAUGCAGUCUGACAGGAGUGGAAA